CAACAGUCGCUCCCUGGACCUGGAUGGCAUCAUCGCUGAGGUCAAGGCGCAGUAUGAGGAGAUGGCCAAAUGCAGCCGGGCUGAGGCUGAAGCCUGGUACCAGACCAAGUUUGAGACCCUCCAGGCCCAGGCUGGGAAGCAUGGGGACGACCUCCGGAAUACCCGGAAUGAGAUUUCAGAGAUGAACCGGGCCAUCCAGAGGCUGCAGGCUGAGAUCGACAACAUCAAGAACCAGGGCGGAUCCAGGCCUAUAGCCAGGUGUCUACCACCACUGAGGGGCGUCAUGGGGAGCUACAAGGGGUCUCCAGAGGCAGCGGGGAUGGCAUUGGCUCUGGGGGCACCAGUGUGACAGGGCAGGGCACUGAGCUGUGGCCGAGGGGCAGAGUGUCAGAGGGCCUCCUGGGGAAUGCUGUCUCUGGCAGAGAGGCAGCCAC
RNAcentral lists this small RNA (434 nucleotides) under Pan troglodytes (chimpanzee). RNAcentral describes it as "processed transcript". Lineage: Eukaryota; Metazoa; Chordata; Mammalia; Primates; Hominidae. The record is from RNAcentral.